Molecule: small nuclear RNA, 61 nt
Organism: Gorilla gorilla gorilla (western lowland gorilla)
Lineage: Eukaryota; Metazoa; Chordata; Mammalia; Primates; Hominidae
Gene: U7
Rfam family: U7 small nuclear RNA
About the family: Animal histone pre-mRNAs are spliced by a different mechanism than nuclear pre-mRNAs and self-splicing introns. This processing involves the U7 snRNP, which contains only one RNA species: U7.
Source: Ensembl
UAGUGUUACAGCUGUUUUAGAAUUUGUCUAGCAGGCAUUCUGGUUUUUGCCGAAAGCCCCC